UCACCGGGUGAGAAUCUUCC
Molecule: microRNA, 20 nt
Filed under: Caenorhabditis briggsae
Lineage: Eukaryota; Metazoa; Nematoda; Chromadorea; Rhabditida; Rhabditidae
Description: cbr-miR-41b
Gene: cbr-miR-41b
Source: miRBase by way of RNAcentral